UACGUAGGGGGCAAGCGUUAUCCGGAUUUACUGGGUGUAAAGGGAGCGUAGACGGUUAAGCAAGUCUGAUGUGAAAACCCGGGGCUCAACUCCGGGAUUGCAUUGGAAACUGUUAAACUUGAGUGCAGGAGAGGUAAGUGGAAUUCCUAGUGUAGCGGUGAAAUGCGUAGAUAUUAGGAGGAACACCGGCGGCGAAGGCGGCUUACUGGACUGUAACUGACGUUGAGGCUCGAAAGCGUGGGGAGCAAAC
This 250-nucleotide ribosomal RNA is filed under the name uncultured prokaryote. Its description in RNAcentral is "partial 16S ribosomal RNA". It matches the Rfam family "Bacterial small subunit ribosomal RNA", at positions 524 to 773 of the family's 1533-position model. The record is from RNAcentral.